CUGACAAGAGCCUCGUGAGUCACAGACACUGAUUUCUGCCACUUCCGUGCCCGUUACUCCAGCUGCCCACACUGUCAACAGAGAUAAACAAGGGGAGGGAAUUCGUCGCCAACUUCACCUUAAGGUAAGAAAUAUGAGGCUCAGAAAGACAAAAUGGCUUCCUCCAGGUCGCACUGCUGCACAGUGAUGGCUCCAGAGCCCUCUCUCUCAGGAGCAUCCAUGGUCUGCAAGGGAGACUCGCUGGAACUCAUGAAAAUAUAUACCACCCCCACUGUGUGCAGUAUCCUGAACCUACUCCCAUCGUACAGAGCACAGAACAAUUGAAGCCAUCAUCACCACUACCACCACCAGC
This is a long non-coding RNA of Mus musculus (house mouse), 352 nucleotides long. RefSeq annotates it as predicted gene, 40775. The record is from RefSeq and is a predicted model, not a curated record. The transcript has 3 exons. Lineage: Eukaryota; Metazoa; Chordata; Mammalia; Rodentia; Muridae.